RNAcentral lists this long non-coding RNA (526 nucleotides) under Gallus gallus (chicken). Lineage: Eukaryota; Metazoa; Chordata; Aves; Galliformes; Phasianidae. The record is from RNAcentral.
AGUGAUGGCUGCCAGUCCUCUCACAAAGUCAGGGUUAACCAUUUAAACUCUCAAGAAGUGCUUGUGCUGAUGACUUCAGGAAGGCAUCAAAGCCUUCCCACCUUGAGAAAGAAAAUCUUUCAUUGCCAAAGGCUUUUUGCUUUAGUUUAGGUAGGGACACCUUGAGAACUGCUACUGAUGAAGCGCAUGAUGUAAGCUGCAGCCAACUAACAUAGCUAUGCUGGGAUUUGCUCUGAGGACAAGGACGGCUUUGAUCACAACAUAACAUGGAUCUGGUCUCAGCAGUGUACUGUGACGAUCAGCUGGCAUGAGUGAAACCUCACUAUGGAGGAGAAUUAAACAGAAACCAGCUCAGCCUGGUGGGAAUAUCCUCCUAUCAAUGGAACCACAUCCUGUACAAACAGGCAGUGCUCUAGCUUGCUCCAAAAAUAAACCCUGAUGCUGUAGUACAUUUUGUUGUCUGAUUUUUGAGGACGAUGCUAACACACUGGUACCAGGGGUAAGGUAAGCAAAUAAAGUUUUCAAG